This 484-nucleotide ribosomal RNA is filed under the name uncultured bacterium. RNAcentral describes it as "partial 16S ribosomal RNA". It matches the Rfam family "Bacterial small subunit ribosomal RNA", at positions 30 to 507 of the family's 1533-position model. The record is from RNAcentral.
AUUGAACGCUGGCGGAAUGCUUUACACAUGCAAGUCGAACGAUGAACCUUAGCUUGCUAAGGGGAUUAGUGGCGAACGGGUGAGUAAUAUAUCGGAACGUGCCUUGUAAUGGGGGAUAACUAGUCGAAAGAUUAGCUAAUACCGCAUACGCCCUGAGGGGGAAAGUAGGGGAUCUUCGGACCUUACGUUAUAAGAGCGGCCGAUAUCUGAUUAGCUAGUUGGUGGGGUAAUGGCCUACCAAGGCGACGAUCAGUAGCUGGUCUGAGAGGACGACCAGCCACACUGGAACUGAGACACGGUCCAGACUCCUACGGGAGGCAGCAGUGGGGAAUUUUGGACAAUGGGCGCAAGCCUGAUCCAGCCAUUCCGCGUGAGUGAAGAGGGCCUUCGGGUUGUAAAGCUCUUUCGCAAGGGAAGAAAACUUACCAUCGAAUAAAUGGUGAGGCUGACGGUACCUUGAUAAGAAGCACCGGCUAACUACGUG